GAUGAACGCUGGCGGCGUGCCUAAUACAUGCAAGUCGAGCGAACGGACGAGAAGCUUGCUUUUCUGAUGUUAGCGGCGGACGGGUGAGUAACACGUGGAUAACCUACCUAUAAGACUGGGAUAACUUCGGGAAACCGGAGCUAAUACCGGAUAAUAUUUUGAACCGCAUGGUUCAAAAGUGAAAGACGGUCUUGCUGUCACUUAUAGAUGGAUCCGCGCUGCAUUAGCUAGUUGGUAAGGUAACGGCUUACCAAGGCAACGAUGCAUAGCCGACCUGAGAGGGCGAUCGGCCACACUGGAACUGAGACACGGUCCAGACUCCUACGGGAGGCAGCAGUAGGGAAUCUUCCGCAAUGGGCGAAAGCCUGACGGAGCAACGCCGCGUAAGUGAUGAAGGUCUUCGGAUCGUAAAACUCUGUUAUUAGGGAAGAACAUAUGUGUAAGUAACUGUGCACAUCUUGACGGUACCUAAUCAGAAAGCCACGGCUAACUACGUG
This 497-nucleotide ribosomal RNA is filed under the name uncultured bacterium. RNAcentral describes it as "partial 16S ribosomal RNA". It matches the Rfam family "Bacterial small subunit ribosomal RNA", at positions 28 to 507 of the family's 1533-position model. The record is from RNAcentral.